UGCAGGUAGGCAGGGGGAGCAGG
RNAcentral lists this microRNA (23 nucleotides) under Gallus gallus (chicken). RNAcentral's name for it is "gga-miR-12259-5p". Lineage: Eukaryota; Metazoa; Chordata; Aves; Galliformes; Phasianidae. The record is from miRBase by way of RNAcentral.